RNAcentral lists this long non-coding RNA (253 nucleotides) under Lathyrus oleraceus (garden pea). RNAcentral's name for it is "Pisum sativum (pea) long non-coding RNA (PSAT_LNC014453)". The record is from RNAcentral. Lineage: Eukaryota; Viridiplantae; Streptophyta; Magnoliopsida; Fabales; Fabaceae.
GAUUUUUCGAUGAUGGGUUGCUCAUGAGUACAUCCUAAGGGAAUUGGAGUUGUUUGUAAUGAAGACGACCAUAACGGUCUGCACACGAUUUGAUGUCUUUAUGCACGAGAGGAAUCUUGGGGACUGUGAGUCUCCCCUUUUGAUAUCUCAAAAGUAAUUUUAUUGUGAUGUUUAAACAUAUUUUUUAUUUUCCAAAAUUUUAAAACAUUGCUUAUCAAAGAAUACAUGAAUUUUGCAAACAAGUAGAUAAAGU